Molecule: unclassified non-coding RNA, 315 nt
Filed under: uncultured fungus
Lineage: Eukaryota; Fungi
Description: sequence contains ITS2
Rfam family: 5.8S ribosomal RNA (bases 1-52)
Source: RNAcentral
AACGCACCUUGCGCUCCUUGGUAUUCCGAGGAGCACGCCUGUUUGAGUGUCGUGAAAUUCUCAACCCUUCCCCCUUUUACGAGGCGGGCUUGUGGAUUGGACUUGGAGGUCUUUUGCCGGCUUUUUACUAAGUCGGCUCCUCUUAAAUGUAUUAGUAGGACCUUCAGUUGAAGAAGCCUCGGUGUGAUAAUUAUCUACGCCGGCUCGUGUGCUAUAUUCACUGUAUGUUGAACCUGCUUCUAACCGUCUCGCAAGGGACAAAUUAAAUUAUCAAACCUUGACCUCAGAUCAGGCGGGACUACCCGCUGAACUUAA